This 317-nucleotide unclassified non-coding RNA is filed under the name Chytridiomycota sp. Its description in RNAcentral is "partial contains small subunit ribosomal RNA, internal transcribed spacer 1, and 5.8S ribosomal RNA". The stretch from base 1 to 47 matches the Rfam family "Eukaryotic small subunit ribosomal RNA", at positions 1785 to 1831 of the family's 1831-position model. The record is from RNAcentral. Lineage: Eukaryota; Fungi; Chytridiomycota.
AAAGUCGUAACAAGGUAACCGUAGGUGAACCUGCGGUUGGAUCAUUAACAAAUAAAUUAGGCCCCUGCCUGCUCCGUCAAAAGGGCAAGUGGGGAACACCUAAACAUUUGUGUGCACCAUAUCUGUCUUUGGCAGUUCGAGUGUCCCAGGUUGCGUAACUGCCCCGGGUACCUACCAAAGCAAACCUCAGGGCUUGCUGCGGUUGGGCUGCCGCAUUUUUUGAACAAACCCCUGUCGUUUUUUAAAAGCCUGAAAUUUUUUUGAUCUUCAAAGAUUAAAUUUAAAUACAACUUUUGACAACGGAUCUCUUGGCUCUC